CACGCCCUAAACGAUGUCAACUGGUUGUUGGGAGAUUUAUUCUCUUAGUAACGAAGCUAACGCGUGAAGUUGACCGCCUGGGGAGUACGGUCGCAAGAUUAAAACUCAAAGGAAUUGACGGGGGCCCGCACAAGCGGUGGAUGAUGUGGAUUAAUUCGAUGCAACGCGAAAAACCUUACCUACGCUUGACAUGUCCCGAAUCCCGAUGAAAGUUGGGGGUGCUCGAAAGAGAACGGGAACACAGGUGC
This 248-nucleotide ribosomal RNA is filed under the name uncultured bacterium. RNAcentral describes it as "partial 16S ribosomal RNA". It matches the Rfam family "Bacterial small subunit ribosomal RNA", at positions 796 to 1041 of the family's 1533-position model. The record is from RNAcentral.